CCUACGGGGGGCAGCAGUGAGGAAUAUUGGUCAAUGGGCGCUAGCCUGAACCAGCCAAGUAGCGUGAAGGAUGACUGCCCUAUGGGUUGUAAACCUCUUUUAUAUGGGAAUAAAGUGCAGUAUGUAUACUGCUUUGCAUGUACCUUAUGAAUAAGGAUCGGCUAACUCCGUGCCAGCAGCCGCGGUAAUACGGAGGAUCCGAGCGUUUUCCGGAAUUAUUGGGUUUCAAGGUAGCGUAGGCGGGUUGGUAAGGCAGUUGUGAAAGUUUGCGGCUCAACCGGAAAAUUGAAGUUGAUACUGGCAGCCUAGAGUACAGGAGGGGGAGGCGGAAUUCGUGGUGUAGCAGUGAAAUGCUUAGAUAUCGCGAAGAACACCGAUUGCGAAGGCAGGCUGCUGGACUGUAACUGACGCUGAUGCUCGAAAGUGAGGGUAGCAAACAGGAUUAGAUACCCUGGUAGUC
This 460-nucleotide ribosomal RNA is filed under the name uncultured bacterium. Its description in RNAcentral is "partial 16S ribosomal RNA". It matches the Rfam family "Bacterial small subunit ribosomal RNA", at positions 338 to 795 of the family's 1533-position model. The record is from RNAcentral.